CCCAUACAAUCUUGCUAGCGCAUGCUAAAAAGAUAAAAGCUCCGGCGGUGUAAAAUGAGCGUGCGUCCUAUUAGCUAGUUGGAGAGGUAAUGGCUCACCAAGGCUACGAUGGGUAGGGGUUCUUAGUGGAAGGUCCCCCACACUGGCACUGAGAUACGGGCCAGACUCCUACGGGAGGCAGCAGUAGGGAAUAUUGGUCAAUGGGCGCAAGCCUGAACCAGCCAUGCCGAGUGCAGGAUGAAGGCUCUCUGAGUUGUAAACUGCUUUUGUACAGGAGCAAAAAAGCCCCUGCGGGGGCUCUUGAGAGUACUGUAAGAAUAAGCACCGGCUAAUUCCGUGCCAGCAGCCGCGGUAAUACGGAAGGUGCAAGCGUUAUCCGGUUUUAUUGGGUUUAAAGGGUGCGUAGGCGGCUUAUUAAGUCAGUUGUGAAAUCCUAGUGCUUAACGCUAGAACUGCGAUUGAUACUAUUAGGCUUGAGUUAAGAAGAGGUAGGCAGAAUUUAUGGUGUAGUAGUGAAAUGCUUAGAUAUCAUAAGGAAUACCAAUAGCGUAGGCAGCUUACUGGUCUUUAACUGACGCUGAGGCACGAAAGCGUGGGGAGCAAACAGGAUUAGAUACCCUGGUAGUCCACGCCGUAAACGAUGAUCACUCGAUAUACAUGAAACCUCGUGUGUGUCUAAGCGAAAGCGUUAAGUGAUCCACCUGGGGAGUAUACUCGCAAGGGUGAAACUCAAAGGAAUUGACGGGGGUCCGCACAAGCGGUGGAGUAUGUGGUUUAAUUCGAUAAUACGCGAGAAACCUUACCUGGGCUAGAAUGUAAUGGACACCUUGAG
This 832-nucleotide ribosomal RNA is filed under the name Cardinium endosymbiont of Brevipalpus phoenicis. RNAcentral's name for it is "bacterial SSU rRNA". It matches the Rfam family "Bacterial small subunit ribosomal RNA", at positions 170 to 1003 of the family's 1533-position model. Lineage: Bacteria; Pseudomonadati; Bacteroidota; Cytophagia; Cytophagales; Amoebophilaceae. The record is from RNAcentral.